GAUGAACGCUAGCGGCAGGCUUAAUACAUGCAAGUCGUGGGGCAGCAUGAGUAGCAAUACUUGAUGGCGACCGGCAAACGGGUGAGGAACACGUACACAACCUUCCUUCAAGCGGGGAAUAGCCCAGAGAAAUUUGGAUUAAAUACCCCAUAAUAUAUUUGAUAAGGCAUCUUAUUAAUAUUAAAGCUUCGGCACUUGAUGAUGGGUGUGCGGCUGAUUAGAUAGUUGCGGGGUAACGGCCCACCAAGUCUACGAUCAGUAGCUGAUGUGAGAGCAUGAUCAGCCACACGGGUACUGAGACACGGGCCCGACUCCUACGGGAGGCAGCAGUAAGGAUAUUGGACAAUGGACGAAAGUCUGAUCCAGCCAUGCCGCGUGAAGGAUUAAGGUCCUCUGGAUUGUAAACUUCUUUUAUAUGGGACGAAAAAAGGGCAUUCUUGUUCACUUGACGGUACCAUAUGAAUAAGCACCGGCUAACUCCGUGCCAGCA
This 490-nucleotide ribosomal RNA is filed under the name uncultured bacterium. RNAcentral's name for it is "bacterial SSU rRNA". It matches the Rfam family "Bacterial small subunit ribosomal RNA", at positions 28 to 513 of the family's 1533-position model. The record is from RNAcentral.